AUCGAGGAGACACGCCUCUUGUUUCUAUGCCGUCCGGUGCUUUCUCCAACCCUCUCCUACUCUUUUAGGUUUGACUUUUCAAAACUUUGUGCUUGCGGUUCUUUUUAAUUCGGAUUCUGAAGCUUUAUUUAUCUUGUUUGUGGUGAUUUUGUAAUGGUUUUGUUGAAUUUUGCUCAAGACGAAGCAAAAGAAGGAGCCUUUCACCGCUAAAAUUCCAAAGAAGCCCAAGAAGAAGGUAGAGAGGAACUGGAAUUAAAUAUUAAGGAUGAAUCUGAUGAGUUCAGAUUACCAACUGACCAGGAACUAGAACAAGAGGCGCAUCAACCUCCUGAUCUUUCACACCUUCAGGGGAGGUUAAAAGAGACUGUUGGAAAAACUUGCAUGCUGAUCUCUUAUACCAACAUUACCUUCCCCACUGUAAGAAGCAUGGUGUUAAUUUCAUCAUGAUUCAUAUAUAACUAAUCAGUCAAGUUUGUUUCAUUGAUUUAUGACAUAUUUUUUAAUUGCUAAUGUGGUGGUGGAUGGAAGCACAGUUAACCUUUGGAUUAUGGGACACUGCAGGUAAGUAAUUGUUCUAUGUGGGUGCUUGGUUUCUACUAGUCUGCUAUUUUACCAUGGUGAAGAUUAUCAAGGUUAUAUUACUGAUUGAAGUAACUGCCCUACAUAACACAAAAUGACUAAUAAUAUAGCCUGGAUAACAAAAACUGUGUUAUUCCUAAGAAAAUGUUCUUUUAAAAGACUUUAUGCCAUCAUAUUUUCACUUUCUGUCUGGAUUAUUAAUUUGGUGGAUUUUGCAUAAAAGAUGGUUUGGAUUGAUAAUAUGUUAGAAUAAAUACCAUGAACCUUCACAUAUGUGCAAUAUGCAUAUGCUUAAUCUGUAAUUAUAUGAUUGGGAGAAAAUUGAGCGCUUGUUACUAAGUUUGGGAUGUUCUAACUUGCUUCGUUACUAUGUUUCAGGCUGGUCUUAUAAGCGCUUAUAUCAUAAAAACACUCUACUUUGGAAGGCAUUCUACAGAUCGUGAAGUUGCUCUCAUGAUGCUUAUGGCUUAUUUGUCAUACAUGUUGGCUGAGGUACCCUAAAACAGAAUAUGGAUAACUACAACUACUUGGAACUUAAUUAUGAAGGUUUUAAGUGAAUGCAGAAGAUUAUUACAAAGGAACUGAUAAUGUUUUAGAUUUUAGCAUGGUGAUGAUAUGUUGGUUUAGUUAAGUUGUUUUUGUACAAUACUCAAUUGUUGUUGGCAUAUAAAUGUAUAAUUUACAUUUUCUAAUGUGAUACUUGCAGUUUGU
Molecule: long non-coding RNA, 1290 nt
Organism: Rosa chinensis
Lineage: Eukaryota; Viridiplantae; Streptophyta; Magnoliopsida; Rosales; Rosaceae
Exons: 4
Source: RefSeq, a predicted model, not a curated record